This 440-nucleotide ribosomal RNA is filed under the name uncultured bacterium. Its description in RNAcentral is "partial 16S ribosomal RNA". It matches the Rfam family "Bacterial small subunit ribosomal RNA", at positions 338 to 795 of the family's 1533-position model. The record is from RNAcentral.
CCUACGGGAGGCAGCAGUGGGGAAUAUUGCACAAUGGGGGAAACCCUGAUGCAGCGACGCCGCGUGAGUGAAGAAGUAUUUCGGGAUGUAAAGCUCUAUCAGCAGGGAAGAAAAUGACGGUACGUGACUAAGAAGCCCCGGCUAACUACGUGCCAGCAGCCGCGGUAAUACGUAGGGGGCAAGCGUUAUCCGGAUUUACUGGGUGUAAAGGGAGCGUAGACGGCCAGACAAGUCAGUAGUGAAAGCCUGGGGCUCAACCUUGGGAUUGCUUUUGAAACUGGCGGGCUUGAGUGCAGGAGAGGUAAGCGGAAUUCCUGGUGUAGCGGUGAAAUGCGUAGAUAUUAGGAAGAACACCAGUGGCGAAGGCGGCUUACUGGACUGUAACUGACGUUGAGGCUCGAAAGCGUGGGGAGCAAACAGGAUUAGAUACCCGAGUAGUC